GACGAACGCUGGCGGCGUGCCUAACACAUGCAAGUGGAGCGACGAACCAGGCUUCGGCCUGGGGCAAAGCCGCGAACGGGUGAGUAACACGUGGGUAACCUGCCCUGAUGAUUGGGACAACCCGAGGAAACUCGGGCUAAUACCAAAUGUGCCCUUCGGCCAUAAGGCCGCCGGGGAAAGGAAGCUUCGGCCUCCGCAUCUGGAUGGGCCCGCGGCCCAUUAGCUUGUUGGUGAGGUAACGGCNCACCAAGGCGACGAAUGGGUAGCUGGUCUGAGAGGACGAUCAGCCACACUGGGACUGAGACACGGCCAGACUCCUACGGGAGGCAGCAGUGGGGAAUCUUGCGCAAUAGCGCGAAAAGCGUGACGCAGC
This 373-nucleotide ribosomal RNA is filed under the name uncultured bacterium. Its description in RNAcentral is "bacterial SSU rRNA". It matches the Rfam family "Bacterial small subunit ribosomal RNA", at positions 28 to 392 of the family's 1533-position model. The record is from RNAcentral.